CGACGGGAUGGUUUGGCACCUCGAUGUCGGCUCGUCGCAUCCUGGGGCUGGAGUCGGUCCCAAGGGUUGGGCUGUUCGCCCAUUAAAGCGGUACGCGAGCUGGGUUUAGAACGUCGUGAGACAGUUCGGUCCCUAUCCGCUGUGCGCGUAGGAGUCUUGAGAAGGGCUGUCCCUAGUACGAGAGGACCGGGACGGACGAACCUCUGGUGUGCCAGUUGUUCUGCCAAGGGCAUGGCUGGUUGGCUACGUUCGGGAGGGAUAACCGCUGAAAGCAUCUAAGCGGGAAGCCUGCUUCGAGAUGAGGACUCCCACCUCCUAGAGAGGGUAAGGCUCCCAGUAGACGACUGGGUUGAUAGGCCGGAUAUGGAAGCACGGUAACGUGUGGAGUUGACCGGUACUAAUAGGCCGAGGGCUUGUCCUCAGUUG
This 426-nucleotide ribosomal RNA is filed under the name Actinospica acidiphila. Its description in RNAcentral is "partial 23S ribosomal RNA". It matches the Rfam family "Bacterial large subunit ribosomal RNA", at positions 2506 to 2925 of the family's 2925-position model. The record is from RNAcentral. Lineage: Bacteria; Bacillati; Actinomycetota; Actinomycetes; Catenulisporales; Actinospicaceae.